GCCGGCGUAGCUCAGUGGUAGAGCAGCAUCCUUGUAAGCUGAAGGUCGGGGGUUCGAUUCCGCCCCGCCGGCACCA
RNAcentral lists this transfer RNA (76 nucleotides) under Mesorhizobium sp. M00.F.Ca.ET.149.01.1.1. Its description in RNAcentral is "tRNA-Thr". It matches the Rfam family "tRNA". Rfam says of the family: Transfer RNA (tRNA) molecules are approximately 80 nucleotides in length. Lineage: Bacteria; Pseudomonadati; Pseudomonadota; Alphaproteobacteria; Hyphomicrobiales; Phyllobacteriaceae. RNAcentral also lists the same sequence under 3 other names. The record is from RNAcentral.